Molecule: transfer RNA, 73 nt
Filed under: Spilornis cheela (crested serpent eagle)
Lineage: Eukaryota; Metazoa; Chordata; Aves; Accipitriformes; Accipitridae
Description: tRNA-Val
Source: RNAcentral
CAGGGCGUAGCUAUAAUCCAAAGCAUUCAGCUUACACCUGAAAGAUGCCUACCACCCACCUAGGUCGCCCUGA